Long non-coding RNA from Pezoporus occidentalis (night parrot), 4003 nucleotides. RefSeq lists it as uncharacterized. The transcript is spliced from 4 exons. Lineage: Eukaryota; Metazoa; Chordata; Aves; Psittaciformes; Psittacidae. The record is from RefSeq and is a predicted model, not a curated record.
CUUGUGAAAGGCAUCUCUACCAAUUUCAGAAGGUCAAAAGUGCAAACUUAUUUGAGACUCGAAAAUCAACAACUGGCUAAUGAGUAGCUAUCAGUGACAACGGUGUGGACAUGGACGCAACCUGUGACUUGGGAGAUAUUAUCAUCAUGUAUUAACGAUACAGAGCAUACAAACUGAUCCAUUGGAAUGAAAAAUUAUAACAUACAGAUUUAUGCAAGAAGGAUGACUGCAAAGUGCGUUGCGUGAGUAGUGUAAGAAGCUGAAAAUUGCUGCUGUUGUAGCUGUCAUAGACACAGGACCUCGGACUUGAUUAUGAUUCCAUUAUGGUAAGCACCUCUAUCAAUCACAGGGAGAUCAAGUCGUUGCCUAAAGAUGUGCAUAUAAAGAUACCCCAUACAGCAGCAUGCCCUGAAGGAGCUUAAUGGAAUAGCUGUGAUGUAGAAACGAGAGACUUGCCUGUCUUUCAGAGCUGCAACCUUCUGAACUUCAGAUAUUGCCCUUCUAUAUGUUGAGAAGGGAUGUGUGAGAAUUCUGUGUUAGAUGCCUUCAUACAAGAAACGGAAAACUGGGGAUGAAUCCUUGCCACUACUUUACUUUACUUAGGAAUUUACAGAUGAAUCAUCCCUUAAUCUAAAAGUAAUGACAUAGUUAGAUAAUAAACUUUUGCUAUUCAGAAUGGACCCAGUUACCCUCUAAACGGCUAAUUAGUUUGAAAUGCUGCUGGCCACAGAUACCUACAAUUUACAUUCCCUUGCUUUCCUUUCUUACAAAUAAUGAACAUUUCACUAAACUUCAAACACGCUUUUGUCUUCUGUUCAAGCAAAAGAAAAAGAGCUGAAUUUAAGCAUGCUCGUGUGUGAGGGGUGCUCCUGAGUUCAGCGUUUGAUUUGUUUGCAGUGAGAACUAAGAAGAUAUGUUUAAAAUACUGCUGGUUGUACUUAUGUGUGAGAAGAAUCCCAGCCAUGAAAGAAUCUAAAGGAGGAGGAGACAGGAGUUUUUUGCUUCACUCUUUUACUAACAUCAGUAAGCUAUUGAUUUGGCCAUAAGAUUGAGUGAAGAUGCACCACCUAAGGAAUUUUAGAUAGAAGGUCACAGUUUAACACUCAGUGCAGGGCAUACUUAUGCAUCUGUUCCAUUUCACAGGGCAUCCGCUCCAUUUCCAGGCAGAGCUGCAGGACUCUUCAUGUAUAAAUAAAUAACCUGGUGUAAGACAGAUUAUGUUCCUCGGAUAUCAAUCACUGGUAAAUAUUGUGUUUCUACUCAUGAAGUAAGAAUAGUAAAUGGAAACUCAUGAAGAUUUCAGGUUGCCAUUAUAUUUACAGUCCUGGGCUCACUGCUGAGAAUUAUUGGAUGUCUUUGCCUCUGAAUAUGGGCUGAAAGCUUCAGUGGGAUACUCAUUCCUUGCUUGCCUCUCAGACUUUCAAAUCAACAUUAAUCUUGGUUCUUAUAACCCUACUUCUGAAUCACUGUAAAUAAUGCAAAAAGCUACCAGAUCUUUGCCAGUUAGGCUCAAGUAAAAAACAAACCCCCAAACACAACCUUUCCUGAUUCUUUAUCUGGCAAAUGGUUUGGGCCAAAGUGAGUAUUGUGUGAGUAUUGUGAGUAUUGUGUGAUUACAGGGACUGAUUGCACUGGGGGAAAAAGGGAGAAAAUAUGACAAGAAAAGCUUUGGAGUGCCUUCUAGUAGAUGCAUGAUGGAAGGACAAUCGUUUCAUUCCCCUUCCUUCUAGCUGGCCAUUACCUCUUUUUCUGUCAGCAGUCAGACAUCCCCUAUUUUCAGCCGCAAGUAACACAUCUCUGUAUGUGCUGAUGUCAAGAGACAAGGUUGGUUCAACCCGGGAAUAUUGCCAUCUUUCUGUGGCAGUGACUCCAGUUUCUUCACAGUCUGUGUGCUUCCCUCACCAGCCCCUCUUCUCCACUGACUGAAACAGAGGUGAGAGAUUGUUUACAACAUUCAGGAACUCUGUAUUGGAGACUGUUGGUAUUUUGAAAGAAACCACAGUUGGGUGUUCUGAGCCUAAACUCUGAUAUUUUCCAAUAUAGAUACAGCUGCUGUUUCAUUGCUUAUGAAUUUUGGCAUAUUAAAAAAAAAUUCCAGUCAUGUUUCAAUCUUUUUUCUUAUUAUAUUCCAUUCUGUUUAUUUUUAGAGGAGAAAAAUAUAGUCAGAAUAUAUACAUUCUUUGUUUUUCCUUGUUCAGUAUAUCAACAGCUUAGACUGUCAUCGUUUUUAAUAAACGGUCAGAAUAAGAAGGAACUCAAAGCUUGCUAAGUGCUUGUUUUUUUUUAAUCAUUGUGGUAAUAGGGAUGCAUUUAGGUAGAUAGGUGUGGAUAUUUGUUAACCUUUUCCUUCUUGACAUAACUGCUCUUAUUUUAGGGUUAGAUCUUUUUGUUCUGUAGCAUCCUCAUUUAAUAAUGAAAAGACGCUCACAAACAAAAGUAGCCCAGCCAUGGAAUGGUAUCAGCAGAGCCAAAACCAUCUCAGCCAAAAUGGCAGCCAAGGGGUAUGCAGCACUUCAUUAAUCUGGUUUGGUCCAGGUACCCUGGAAGUAGGCCUAAGGAAAAUCAUUGCAACUUGGCAUAGCUAGCUUUAUCCUUCAUGAGCUUUAAUGUGGAACAGAUGUAUGUUAAGCGAUGAUUAUUUUCGACUUGAGUACAAGGAGUAUGAUAUUUUUUAAGUCCUCCUUUUAAUUCCAUUUUGACUUACAGCCACCAAAAAUUUGAUUUCAGUUUGUCUCUUCCUGACAAGAAUUUGUGUUUUCUGCAGUAAUGUUCUACUCCAUACAGCAUCACAGUUAGCACACCACAGGCUUCAUGAUGGUAGGCCUCCUGAAUAUUCUGACAAGAUUGCUUCAGGUGACACUAUUAGUUCCUAUUACAGAGUAAAUUUCCAGAUAAGGAGAGAUUUGUCUUACCACAAAAAUAUACAGCAUUUUCAAAUGUAGAAAUUGGAAGCUUAUUUUUGCUACUUGUAUGAAACAGUCACCUAGGAGAAAGCCAUUUAUAAACUGGGAGAGGGAGGUAGAGACUUUUUAGAGGUAUUUUCAGCCAAUUUUGAUUCUCUUUAAUUAUCUUAGGUAUUCUCAAGCAUUUUUUUUCCAGUGGAUUCAUAUUUCAGCCAGUAUUUCUGACAAUCUAUUUUAUGCUUCAUUGACCACUAGGUUUGAAAUUCUAGCCCAUAUUGGCACAGUAGUGCCAAGUUUGUAGUGAUAAAUGGAUAACUUUUUUAUUUUAAAUAGGUAUCUGUUAUUUAAUUUGUGGUCUCUAAUUUUUUUUUUUUUUUCAGUUCAUUAGUUCUGCUAUUUUUCUGUCUAGGAAAAAGUGAUCAAAAGAGACAGAGGGAUCAAGGUGGAAUAUUGCUUUAGACUUGUUCAUACAAAAUAAAAUCAGAAGAAAUGGAUUGUCCAAGGAAGUGUAAAUGUAAUCAUAUCAUGUGCUCAUUUUUCUCUAACAAUGAAUUUGCUGAAUUUAUUUAUUUAUUUUUUUACUGAGAAAUGAAAGAUCAUAUUUUUCAUGCUGAUAGUUUUUUCUCUACCAAGAUUGCUACUCUUCAGAACCUAUUUAAAAUGUGCAACCCGUAAUUCAUAAUUGGGUAGUAUGCUUGCUAAUGCCAUUUUCAUAAAUUUCUUGAAUUUCAACAGAAUGUUAGUUUUGCUAAAUUAUAACCUCCUCUACUAAAAGCGGUAACACCUCCUAUCAUUGUUUAAAUGUGCUGUACUAUGCAAUUAUAAAGAGGAGGAAGCUGAAGAGGAGAUUAAACACUGAGGAAAUGCUUCUAUUUUAGUAUAUUCUCUGUUGUUCUUUAUCCAUUUUACAGUAAACCGCAUUUCCUCAUAAACAGGCCUUGAAUCUAAAGAGUUAGUCAGACUUCUACAGAAGUUUACUUUUUAUAUUGCUCGUGUAAGGUUUUCCUGUUCUUGGUUUUUAAAAUCUUACAGAACCUUUUUUUUUUUUUUUUCAUUUUCCUCACCCUAAACCUCUCCUCAUAUCCUCAUUUCAAAACUGA